GUGAAUCAUCAAAUCUUUGAACGCAAAUUGCACUCUCUUCGGAGAGUAUGCCUGUUUGAGGGUCAGUCUAUAAAAAAUCGACAUCGUUGCUGUUUCACGGCGACGUUCGUUGGAAAUUGGGUCAUCUUAUAUCUUUGGUUUAAGCGACUUAAAAUUUUUUUUACGAUUCUAUGUACGUAUCCAAGUCUUAUUUCUUUUCAUGUUUAAGGUAUUGAUUUUAUUAGGCGUGGUCGUUAUAUCGGAUCAUGUACAUAACUUUUCGUUAAUUGACCUCAGACA
RNAcentral lists this unclassified non-coding RNA (279 nucleotides) under Glomus sp. RNAcentral describes it as "partial contains 5.8S ribosomal RNA and internal transcribed spacer 2". The stretch from base 1 to 65 matches the Rfam family "5.8S ribosomal RNA", at positions 84 to 154 of the family's 154-position model. The record is from RNAcentral. Lineage: Eukaryota; Fungi; Glomeromycota; Glomeromycetes; Glomerales; Glomeraceae.